GAUGAAGAACGCAGCGAAAUGCGAUACGUAAUGUGAAUUGCAAAUUCAGUGAAUCAUCGAGUCUUUGAACGCACAUUGCGCCCCCUGGUAUUCCGGGGGGCAUGCCUGUCCGAGCGUCAUUGCUGCCCUCAAGCACGGCUUGUGUGUUGGGCCCCGUCCUCCGAUCCCGGGGGACGGGCCCGAAAGGCAGCGGCGGCACCGCGUCCGGUCCUCGAGCGUAUGGGGCUUUGUCACCCGCUCUGUAGGCCCGGCCGGCGCUUGCCGAUCAACCCAAAUUUUUAUCCAGGUUGACCUCGGAUCAGGUAGGGAUCCCCGCUGAACUUAAGCAUAUCAAUAAGCGGAGGA
This 345-nucleotide unclassified non-coding RNA is filed under the name soil metagenome. RNAcentral describes it as "partial contains 5.8S ribosomal RNA, internal transcribed spacer 2, and large subunit ribosomal RNA". The stretch from base 1 to 119 matches the Rfam family "5.8S ribosomal RNA", at positions 35 to 154 of the family's 154-position model. The record is from RNAcentral.